This 430-nucleotide ribosomal RNA is filed under the name uncultured bacterium. RNAcentral's name for it is "bacterial SSU rRNA". It matches the Rfam family "Bacterial small subunit ribosomal RNA", at positions 29 to 507 of the family's 1533-position model. The record is from RNAcentral.
AACGAACGCUGGCGGCAGGCCUAACACAUGCAAGCGAGCGAGACCUUCGGGUCUAGCGGCGGACGGGUUAGUAACGCGUGGGAACGUGCCCUUCUCUGCGGAAUAGCCACUGGAAACGGUGAGUAAUACCGCAUACGCCCUUCGGGGAAAGAUUUAUCGGAGAAGGAUCGGCCCGCGUUAGAUUAGAUAGUUGGUGGGUAACGGCCUACCAAGUCUACGAUCUAUAGCUGGUUUUAGAGGAUGAUCAGCAACACUGGGACUGAGACACGGCCCAGACUCCUACGGGAGGCAGCAGUGGGGAAUCUUAGACAAUGGGCGCAAGCCUGAUCUAGCCAUGCCGCGUGUGUGAUGAAGGUCUUAGGAUCGUAAAGCACUUUCGCCAGGGAUGAUAAUGACAGUACCUGGUAAAGAAACCCCGGCUAACUCCGUG